GGAGGUAGUGACAAUAAAUCACAAUGCGGGACUUGUAGUCUUGCAAUUGGAUUGAGAACAACGUAAAACUCUUAUCGAUAAGCCAUUGGAGGGCAAGUCUGGUGCCAGCAGCCGCGGUAAUUCCAGCUCCAAUAGCGUAUAUUAACGUUGUUGCAGUUAAAAAGCUCGUAGUUGAAGUGAGGGAGUGUGUGAGUAUGAGAGCUAGUCUCAAGUGCUCACAACCUCCCCCUUCCAAUGGGUGUAUUGGGGUAUUCAUUUACUUCAUUACUCCUUUGGUCGUUUACUGUGAGAAAAUUAGAGUGUUCAAAGCGGGCGUUUGUUUGAAUAGAUUAGCAUGGAAUAAUGAUUGAAGGCUUUCGUGUUCGAUUUGAUUGGUUUGUUCAUGGAAGCAAGGUUAAAAGGAACAGUUGGGGGUAUUCAUAUUCACUAGUUAGAGGUGAAAUUCUCGGAUUUAUGGAAGAUGAACAAGUGCGAAAGCA
This 479-nucleotide ribosomal RNA is filed under the name Blastocystis sp. RNAcentral's name for it is "SSU rRNA". It matches the Rfam family "Eukaryotic small subunit ribosomal RNA", at positions 460 to 953 of the family's 1831-position model. The record is from RNAcentral. Lineage: Eukaryota; Bigyra; Opalinata; Blastocystidae.